GUGUAUGUGUCAUUCUACCGGAUAGCACGAAGGGUUUUGAUGUGUGCAAAUUUGUUUCCCAGAAGAAAAAAAAAAGAAACUCACAGAAACAUGGCUCCGCACCCCUUACCCCUUAAAAAAUGGGCAUCGAAAUAAUGUUUGUACCCUUUUGCAGCUUUCGGAACUCAAAGGUCUUGGCGGGAAGAAUGUGACCAUCGCAACAAAGAAGAUACUGACCUACAUUAUGACAGACAACGUUGCACAGCAUUACAGUUGGGUUGGAAACAAGGGGAAGGAGAAGUUUUGCAAUGUCAAUGUGAGGCCACUUAUAGUUGUGUGAAGCGGGCUCAAGAGCCAACAUGGUUGGAACAUGAUAUGAACAUCUUUCGAUGCAGCUAGGUCAAACAAGUCAUUUGUUGCAACAGUUGACGAAACCGAGGCCGUUAUAAAAAAGUGGCUGCAGCAUGCUCGCGACCGUGUCAAGCUUCAAGAAGAAAGGGUUGCAAAAAAGGCUGUGGUAUCCGAGGCAUAAUGGCACAAAGGUCGCUCACUAUAUGGCCGGCACUGCACUUGCAUAUUCAUAGUUCCUGAGAUUGGGAACAGAGCUCAAUUCUUCAAAUACUCUUGUAUAACCAUAUCAUUGAACAUAACAUCUUCCAUCAAUAAAAAUAUUUGCAUCUUGU
Molecule: long non-coding RNA, 662 nt
Organism: Ornithodoros turicata
Lineage: Eukaryota; Metazoa; Arthropoda; Arachnida; Ixodida; Argasidae
Exons: 4
Source: RefSeq, a predicted model, not a curated record